GGACUCGUUUACUCGAAUUGGU
RNAcentral lists this microRNA (22 nucleotides) under Echinococcus multilocularis. RNAcentral describes it as "emu-miR-10293-5p". The record is from miRBase by way of RNAcentral. Lineage: Eukaryota; Metazoa; Platyhelminthes; Cestoda; Cyclophyllidea; Taeniidae.